RNAcentral lists this unclassified non-coding RNA (404 nucleotides) under soil metagenome. RNAcentral describes it as "partial contains 5.8S ribosomal RNA, internal transcribed spacer 2, and large subunit ribosomal RNA". The stretch from base 1 to 122 matches the Rfam family "5.8S ribosomal RNA", at positions 35 to 154 of the family's 154-position model. The record is from RNAcentral.
GACGAAGAACGUAGCAAAAUGCGAUACUUGGUGUGAAUUGCAGAAUCCCGUGAACCAUCGAGUUUUUGAACGCAAGUUGCGCCCGAAGCCUUUUGGCCGAGGGCACGUCUGCCUGGGCGUCACGCAUCGCGUCGCCCCCCACAAUUCUCCGUAAAAGGAACAUGUGUUUUGGGGGCGGAUAUUGGUCUCCCGUGCUCAUGGCGUGGUUGGCCGAAAUAGGAGUCCUUUCGAUGGACGCACGAACUAGUGGUGGUCGUAAAAACCCUCGUCUUUUGUUUCGUGCUGUUGCUCGCAAGGUAAACUCUUUAAAAACCCCAAUGUGUCGUCUCUUGACGACGCUUCGACCGCGACCCCAGGUCAGGCGGGACUACCCGCUGAGUUUAAGCAUAUCAAUAAGCGGAGGA